RNAcentral lists this transfer RNA (72 nucleotides) under Stegodyphus mimosarum. It matches the Rfam family "tRNA". From Rfam's summary of the family: Transfer RNA (tRNA) molecules are approximately 80 nucleotides in length. Their secondary structure includes four short double-helical elements and three loops (D, anti-codon, and T loops). Lineage: Eukaryota; Metazoa; Arthropoda; Arachnida; Araneae; Eresidae. The record is from Rfam by way of RNAcentral.
GCCUUCGUGGUGCAGUGGUCAGCACGCUGGGCCUGUAUUCUAGAGGUCCGUGUUCGAGUCCCGGAGAAGGCG